This 668-nucleotide ribosomal RNA is filed under the name Clostridium botulinum. RNAcentral's name for it is "bacterial SSU rRNA". It matches the Rfam family "Bacterial small subunit ribosomal RNA", at positions 374 to 1059 of the family's 1533-position model. The record is from RNAcentral. Lineage: Bacteria; Bacillati; Bacillota; Clostridia; Eubacteriales; Clostridiaceae.
GGGGAAACCCUGACGCAGCAACGCCGCGUGGGUGAUGAAGGUCUUCGGAUUGUAAAGCCCUGUUUUCUAGGACGAUAAUGACGGUACUAGAGGAGGAAGCCACGGCUAACUACGUGCCAGCAGCCGCGGUAAUACGUAGGUGGCGAGCGUUGUCCGGAUUUACUGGGCGUAAAGGGUGCGUAGGCGGAUGUUUAAGUGGGAUGUGAAAUCCCCGGGCUUAACCUGGGGGCUGCAUUCCAAACUGGAUAUCUAGAGUGCAGGAGAGGAAAGCGGAAUUCCUAGUGUAGCGGUGAAAUGCGUAGAGAUUAGGAAGAACACCAGUGGCGAAGGCGGCUUUCUGGACUGUAACUGACGCUGAGGCACGAAAGCGUGGGUAGCAAACAGGAUUAGAUACCCUGGUAGUCCACGCCGUAAACGAUGGAUACUAGGUGUAGGGGGUAUCAACUCCCCCUGUGCCGCAGUUAACACAAUAAGUAUCCCGCCUGGGGAGUACGGUCGCAAGAUUAAAACUCAAAGGAAUUGACGGGGGCCCGCACAAGCAGCGGAGCAUGUGGUUUAAUUCGAAGCAACGCGAAGAACCUUACCUGGACUUGACAUCCCUUGCAUAGCCUAGAGAUAGGUGAAGCCCUUCGGGGCAAGGAGACAGGUGGUGCAUGGUUGUCGUCAGC